UGGGGAAUAUUGGACAAUGGGGGAAACCCUGAUCCAGCGACGCCGCGUGUGUGAAGAAGGCCUGCGGGUUGUAAAGCACUUUUAGUGGGGAGGAAAACCCCUGACCUAACACGUCAGGAAUUGACUUAACCCAAAGAAAAAGCACCGGCUAACUCU
RNAcentral lists this ribosomal RNA (156 nucleotides) under uncultured Gammaproteobacteria bacterium. RNAcentral describes it as "partial 16S ribosomal RNA". It matches the Rfam family "Bacterial small subunit ribosomal RNA", at positions 355 to 504 of the family's 1533-position model. The record is from RNAcentral. Lineage: Bacteria; Pseudomonadati; Pseudomonadota; Gammaproteobacteria.